UUUUUUUUUUAUUAAAUAUUGUUAUUGGUUUUCUUGGAAAAAAAAACCCGCAAUAAUUAUGCACCAACCCAAUAGUCUGAUGUCACCCAUUAACUGAAUCGAAUAAAUUAUAUGUCGAUAAAAUAAUACCAGUAUUCUACCGACAUCAUAGUAGUAGAUUUUUUCUACGCUGUUUGAAUGGCAUCUUAAAAAUUACAAAACAGAAAUUAAUUGAAAAAGUUAUAGUAGAAAUAAUAUGCCUCCACAUUAAUAUCUUUAACAUUGUCUAUAAAAAUAAUAUAAUACUAAGAGCGAAGAAGCUACAUUAAUCUUUAUUAUUUCUCUUGUCAUAAUUAAUAUUGGAUAAUUUAAUUUAAUUCACAUUAUGUAUUCUUAUUUUGAGUCUCGUCAAACUAAGUCUGUCACUCGAAGGCAAGUAUGACUUAAUAGCGUGUAUUAUGCGUCCUUUUCUUUUUUUUUAUUAUGAAUAACUAUUUAGCCACGAACAGGCUUAGAUAAAAAUCACUGACGCAAUUUUCAGUUCAAUAUUGAAAAUUCAAAGUAUAGCUGGAGUGAGAAAUGACUGAAUUAGUACUGGGCUGGCACUCAUAUUUCAGUUGCGUGAAUCGGAAACACGUGUGUAAGAAUCGAACUCUCGACCUUAAUAUUGUGAGCACAACACACUGACAAUAUGGUCAUGAACGCUCAUAGAGGCCCAAUAUAGAGAUUUAAUAUGCUGUUGAUUCUGACUAGAGUAUGCCGUUACACGAACAAAAACUCAGCACACACCAUUGAUAUAUAAAAUAUAUCGGAAUGCAAGAAAAAAUAUAAAGUCUUUAUAUAUGGUAUUCAUGAAGACAAUCCAUUUUACAUGAUGUAAUGAUUACUAAUCAAUAUAUAGCAACAAAAUUUACAAAAAUACACGGAGAAUCACUGUAUUUUAUGUAUCUUUGUGAUGCUAUACAUAUCUUAGAAGACGUCACUCUUCACAAAAUUGUAGCGAUUUCUAUUGAUAUAAAUUUCUAUUGAGAUUAUUGCUCUUCAUAAUAUCAUUGAUAUUUCUAUCGAAACUCAUAUUCUCUAUGAUUAUGUAAAUACUUAAUGAUAGGCAAAUUGUUUUCCAUUGGGACAUCCGUACCAAUGCUUGUUGUGUUGACCCCAAUCAAAAUACUCCAUACUAUAUCAAUUUAUUAAGUGAUUAACUCUAUUUUCCAAAAGAUCAUAUUUUAAUUUAAUGUAGAUUCAGUAUACGCAGAGAUUCUACAUUUGUAUUGAACGUGGCUGCUUGGAUAAUUUUAUGAUUUUAGGGGCUUGGUCGAAUGUAAACUAAACAUCAUGCAUAAGCCUUUUUUGUUGGAUAGUAUAUUUCUCAGUGCUUUCGUUGCUUUGAUAUCGACCAGUAUUUUCUUACGAUACUGUAUAAAAUAUUAUUUCCUCAUCGUUUUUUAUUUAAAUGGAUGAUUUCAUGGUGGUACAUUGGACCGUCUGGGUAAUCUGGUAGGUCCAUACAUUUGCACUGUACUGUUAAAGACGCCAUAUAUGUAAAUACACCAGCUCUUUGUUUCUGAAUACGUCGAGGAGUGAGCUCGCUCUGCCUAUUUGCAAUGGUUGUACGCAUUAGUACCUGGGAAAGUCUUGCGCAGAAAGAGUACAAGCCCAGACACAAUAAGAUAACCCAACACCUUUACUGGCUACUAUGCCGGAUGUAUGAAUACUAGUUAAUAGGUGUUUGAUACCAACAUAGACCAGAAAAGGUAAUGGGCUUAAAUAAAGCAAAAAUCCUCUGGGGCUUUGACUUCGAGACAGACAAUGUGUUAGAGCACUGAAGGCCGCAUGUAGUUACCUUUAGGAGGAAGGAACGAGUGUAUCUAAUAAUCGACGUGACAUAUUAUCGUGAAAGAAACAGAAAAUAUUAAUAAAUAUCGGGACCUACGAAUUCAGAUCGUUAAGAUUUAGCAGCUACGAGAGUCAAUCAUAAAGGUUGUCCCUAUUGUCAUCGGAGCAAUUGGUUCAAUACCAUCCAACCUGAAAAAACAUCUGGAUACUUCAAAAAUGCGCCACCAAUCUAGGUGUAUUGGAAAAAUUGGCGUUACUUGGAAGUGCACGCAUAUUGCGUAAAGUACUGUCUGUUUGAGCUCCUUAUGACUUGACAGAUAGUACAACCCCCGGUACACACACUAUCUUUAAUCAGCAACAUCCUGAUAUAGGAUACUGUGCAACGUCUUAAAUAAAAAUAAAAAUAAUAAUAAUAAUAAUAAUAAUAA
This 2243-nucleotide long non-coding RNA is filed under the name Octopus vulgaris (common octopus). The record is from RNAcentral. Lineage: Eukaryota; Metazoa; Mollusca; Cephalopoda; Octopoda; Octopodidae.